This 484-nucleotide ribosomal RNA is filed under the name uncultured bacterium. Its description in RNAcentral is "bacterial SSU rRNA". It matches the Rfam family "Bacterial small subunit ribosomal RNA", at positions 30 to 507 of the family's 1533-position model. The record is from RNAcentral.
AUUGAACGCUGGCGGCAUGCCUUACACAUGCAAGUCGAACGGCAGCACGGGAGCAAUCCUGGUGGCGAGUGGCGAACGGGUGAGUAAUAUAUCGGAACGUGCCCGGUCGUGGGGGAUAACGUAGCGAAAGCUACGCUAAUACCGCAUACGAUCUACGGAUGAAAGCGGGGGAUCGCAAGACCUCGCGCGAUUGGAGCGGCCGAUAUCAGAUUAGGUAGUUGGUGAGGUAAGGGCUCACCAAGCCGACGAUCUGUAGCUGGUCUGAGAGGACGACCAGCCACACUGGGACUGAGACACGGCCCAGACUCCUACGGGAGGCAGCAGUGGGGAAUUUUGGACAAUGGGCGCAAGCCUGAUCCAGCAAUGCCGCGUGCAGGAUGAAGGCCUUCGGGUUGUAAACUGCUUUUGUACGGAACGAAACGGUGAGCUCUAAUACAGUUUGCUAAUGACGGUACCGCAAGAAUAAGCACCGGCUAACUACGUG